UACAUUUACACAGCAGAAACUCGGUCGGC
Molecule: non-coding RNA, 29 nt
Filed under: Bombyx mori (domestic silkworm)
Lineage: Eukaryota; Metazoa; Arthropoda; Insecta; Lepidoptera; Bombycidae
Source: RNAcentral